This 75-nucleotide transfer RNA is filed under the name Spirochaetota bacterium. RNAcentral's name for it is "Spirochaetes bacterium tRNA-Gln". It matches the Rfam family "tRNA". From Rfam's summary of the family: Transfer RNA (tRNA) molecules are approximately 80 nucleotides in length. Their secondary structure includes four short double-helical elements and three loops (D, anti-codon, and T loops). Further hydrogen bonds mediate the characteristic L-shaped molecular structure. tRNAs have two regions of fundamental functional importance: the anti-codon, which is responsible for specific mRNA codon recognition, and the 3' end, to which the tRNAs corresponding amino acid is attached (by aminoacyl-tRNA synthetases). tRNAs cope with the degeneracy of the genetic code in two manners: having more than one tRNA (with a specific anti-codon) for a particular amino acid; and 'wobble' base-pairing, i.e. permitting non-standard base-pairing at the 3rd anti-codon position. The record is from RNAcentral. Lineage: Bacteria; Pseudomonadati; Spirochaetota.
UGCCCUGUGGUGUAAUCGGUAGCAUGACUGGUUCUGAGCCAGUUGGUCUUGGUUCGAGUCCAGGCAGGGCAGCAA